AAAUCUGGCCCCUAGGGUCCGAGUUGUAAUUUGUAGAGGAUGCUUUUGGUGAGGUGCCGCCCGAGUUCCCUGGAACGGGACGCCACAGAGGGUGAGAGCCCCGUCUGGCUGGCCGCCGAGCCUCUGUAAAGCUCCUUCGACGAGUCGAGUAGUUUGGGAAUGCUGCUCAAAAUGGGAGGUAUAUGUCUUCUAAAGCUAAAUAUUGGCCAGAGACCGAUAGCGCACAAGUAGAGUGAUCGAAAGAUGAAAAGCACCUUGAAAAGAGGGUUAAAUAGUACGUGAAAUUGUUGAAAGGGAAGCGCUUGUGACCAGACUUGGGCGCGGCGGAUCAUCCGGGGUUCUCUCCGGUGCACUUCGCCGCGUCUAGGCCAGCAUCAGUUCGUCGCGGGGGAAAAAGGCUUCGGGAACGUGGCUCCUCCGGGAGUGUUAUAGCCCGUUGCAUAAUACCCUGCGGUGGACUGAGGACCGCGCAUCUGCAAGGAUGCUGGCGU
This 491-nucleotide ribosomal RNA is filed under the name Trichoderma cf. aureoviride DAOM 175924. RNAcentral describes it as "eukaryotic LSU rRNA". It matches the Rfam family "Eukaryotic large subunit ribosomal RNA", at positions 118 to 632 of the family's 3401-position model. The record is from RNAcentral. Lineage: Eukaryota; Fungi; Ascomycota; Sordariomycetes; Hypocreales; Hypocreaceae.